Non-coding RNA from Danio rerio (zebrafish), 461 nucleotides. The record is from Ensembl. Lineage: Eukaryota; Metazoa; Chordata; Actinopteri; Cypriniformes; Danionidae.
ACAACACUGCUCUCCAAAUAGAGACUUGGUUGUAAUAGGUUGAAUGAGUGGGCCUUACAAACCAUUCACCUUUACUUUCAGAGAAUUGUAUUUUCUCUUGUCUUUUGCUCUUUUACCUCAUAAGUUUUCUUUUUGCAACUGUGAGAGUGUGAGUAGGCUACUCCAUAAUCUCUCCUCUCUCUCUGGAUUCUGUACGACACAUGUGGAAUUACAGCCUGAUUACCAAGGCUUUUAAGGUCAGCAGACAUGCACCUCAAUGCUGAGAAUUAACCUGGCAUGUUAAUUCUUCAUUACCCAUGUUUCUUUAUGUUGUUUGAUUAAUGUUCAGAUUUUGUUCAUUUGUUUGCACUUGUAUGUACUGGAAGUUGUUUAUUUUCUUUAGUGUUGUUAUUACCUGAUAUUACUAUUAUAUAUGUUCUACUGUGCUGUUAUUUCACAUUCUUAUUAAAAUGUUGCAGAAA